Xyrauchen texanus (razorback sucker) is the source of this 432-nucleotide long non-coding RNA. RefSeq lists it as uncharacterized. The record is from RefSeq and is a predicted model, not a curated record. NCBI's taxonomy places the organism in Eukaryota, Metazoa, Chordata, Actinopteri, Cypriniformes, Catostomidae. The transcript has 4 exons.
GGGCUGUUCACACCAAACGUGUUUUUGUGCAUGUCAGCACUGUGUUCGAAUUGUUUUCUGACAUAAUUACGUGCUAGACGGGCAUCUUUGACUGCUGGCACAUCUUGCUGUUUCAUUCAAGUCUCGCGCAGGACUGACAGAAGCUCAGGUGUCAAAGAGGACUUCAUGUGACUGUUGCACCGUUAUACAUGAUUCUAGGUUGUAAAGUUUCAGUCCAAAUACAGUUUCAGCAUGUGAUAAAUGCAGAUGAAAGGAAGUCAUACACAUCUGAGAUGGCAUGAGGUUUGAACAUCCUUUCCUACUGUGGGCCUCAGAGCACAGUAGUACACAGCAGAGUCAGACACACGCAGAUCCUGGAUUGUCAGUGGAACUGAUUUUGAUGAUUUUAUCAGUUCAGAGUGAAAUCGUUCCUGGAACUCAGUGCCAUUAUCC